AUGGAUCUUGUGAGUGUGGAGCCAAGAGAUCUGUCGUUCCAUUUAUUGGAAGAAAUAACAGAUGGUUUCUCUGAAGAACGGAAACUUGGAAGCGGUGGGUUUGGAAAAGUUUACAUGGGCGUUCUUAAAGAUGGGGAAAAGAUUGCAGUGAAGCUGCUUCAUCCGUUGCCGGGACUCGAAGACAGUGAUCAACAAUUUCAGAAUGAGUUUGACAACCUUGUAAAGCUUCGACACCAAAACAUCGUGCAUUUAGUUGGCUAUUGCUAUGAAAUUCAGAAACGAUAUGUAGACUACAAUGGAAGAAAUAUUUUUGCUGAAGAUAUACGCAGGGUGCUCUGCUUUGAGUACAUGCAGAAAGGAAGCCUUGACAAGUAUCUUUCUGAUGAGUGUAGUGGGCAUGGCUGGAACACACGCUAUGCAAUAAUCAGGGGGAUAUGCAAGGGUUUGAAAUACCUUCACGAGGAAUUGGAAUCUCCUAUUUAUCAUCUGGAUUUGAAACCAGCUAAUGUAUUAUUGGAUGAGGAUAUGACACCGAAAAUCGCAGAUUUUGGCUUGUCCAGGUUCUUCUUCGGAGAAGAACAAACACAGGUUACAAAAACUUCUAUGGGGACAUUGGGGUACUUACCGCCAGAAUACAUAGAGAGGGGUGUGAUCUCAAAUAAGUUUGACAUAUUCAGCUUAGGUGUUGUAAUCAUAAAGAUAAUGACAGGACCUAAGGGCUACUCCAGAAGUGCUGAAAUGCUUUCCCAUCAAUUUAGUGAGCUUGUGAAUAAAAACUGGAGGAGUAGGUUUCAUUCCACAUCAUUAAACAUGGUGCAAUCAUAUUUGGAACAAGUGAAGACAUGCAUUGAAAUAGCUUUAAGCUGUGUCGAGGCCGAUCGGCAAAAAAGACCGGAUAUAGGGUAUAUUGUCAACAAGCUGGAUGAGACUGAGAUGUUGAUUCAGUUACAACAUGCAUUAAGUAUUGAUGCAGGGUCAUCCUUGAACCAGAUAAGCCCUGACAUGCCUACUGGGAGUGGCUUACUGGAUGCAUCUCCAAAAAUAGAGAGUGGGUGUCUGCAUGCAUCUCCAAAUAUAGAGGGUGGGUUACUGGAUAUCCACCCCUGCCAGCUCGACUUCCUGUUUGAGCCAAACAAGUUGAUCUCGUGUCCACUGCGCCUAACUAACAACUUAGGUGACCAGCAUGUCGCAUUUAGAUGUGUCCCAAAAACACCAGAGAUUUAUCUGGAUGGACUGUCGCAAUUCCAAGGCGUUCUCCCGCCAAGGUCCACUUGCACCUAUGUUCUAACAAUGGAAAUGCAACAACAUCCGCCGACGAACAUGGAUGCCCUUUCCUUGGUUCUAGAGAGUUGUGUAGUUCCCGAGGACAUAGGGGACAUAGAUGACUACAUGUCUAGACAAGGUCCAGGGCACGCGGUAAGAUUGAUGGCCAUUUGUGGUCCAGCAGGCAAGACUGUAACCUCCGAGCCUAUCCGACCACGAAUAAAGAUCAUAUACUGCAGGGAUGAGUUUCGGGAAACAUUAUCAAUGGACGUGCAUCCAACGGAGCCUUGGAUUUUGGGAGGUCAUUGUAAUGGAUACGUGUCCAUUUGGAACUACGAGACCCAGGAAAGAGUAAUAUCAAUGAGAGCCACAAAAGAGUCAGGACGACUUCAUGAUUCACACUGGAUUCUUUCAAUAAAAUUCAUCCCACGAAGGCAAUGGUUUGUCACUGGUGGUGGCAACGGAUACAUCCAGGUGUUUACGUGUAUGACAAUGGACGAGCUCACGGCUUUUAAAGCUCACUCUAGUUGGGUCGAAUCACUGGCUAUUCACCCAAGCCAGCCAUUUGUGCUGUCAGCAUCUGCCGACUGCUUGAUCAAGCUUUGGGACUGGGAGAAUGACUGGACGUGCGUUCGAACAUUCAGUGAACACUCAGACAAUGUGCAGCAAGUCAUGUUCAACCCGUGGGAAACCAACACUUUUGGCAGUGUUUCAAAGGAUUGCACCGCAAAGGUCUGGAGCAUUACUUCUGGUGAUUCUUUGGCCACAUUGAGCAGUAAAUCACAACAAGUCUGUGUUGAUUUUUUUCCUCCAAGUGGUAAUUGCCAGUAUAUGAUUACUGGAUCCGUCGAUGGAACUGCACGAAUCUGGAACCUAGAAGCAAAGAAAUGUGUCCGACAACUUAAGGGACUACAACAUACCGUAUGUGGCUGCACUGUUGGUGUGGUCCAUUUCCUCCCAGACCAUCCGACUCUGGUUACCGUUUCAGCGGACUAUGCUGUUUCUUUCCGUGACCCCACUACCUACAGGUAUGAACGCACAUUUGACUUUAAGCUCGACAUGGUUCGCGGUGGUUUUGCAUACCUUGAGCGCAUAAGGAGCCUGGUCAUCGGAUUUGAUGAUGGAUUUGCCAUCAUGGAAAUCAACUGA
This 2412-nucleotide ribosomal RNA is filed under the name Triticum aestivum (bread wheat). RNAcentral describes it as "partial small subunit ribosomal RNA". The record is from RNAcentral. Lineage: Eukaryota; Viridiplantae; Streptophyta; Magnoliopsida; Poales; Poaceae.